This 440-nucleotide ribosomal RNA is filed under the name uncultured bacterium. RNAcentral describes it as "partial 16S ribosomal RNA". It matches the Rfam family "Bacterial small subunit ribosomal RNA", at positions 338 to 795 of the family's 1533-position model. The record is from RNAcentral.
CCUACGGGUGGCAGCAGUGGGGAAUAUUGCACAAUGGGGGAAACCCUGAUGCAGCGAUGCCGCGUGGAGGAAGAAGGUUUUCGGAUUGUAAACUCCUUUUAUCAGGGACGAUAAUGACGGUACCUGAAGAAAAAGCUCCGGCUAACUACGUGCCAGCAGCCGCGGUAAUACGUAGGGGGCAAGCGUUAUCCGGAUUUACUGGGUGUAAAGGGAGCGUAGACGGCAGCACAAGUCUGGAGUGAAAUCCCGGGGCUUAACCCCGGAACUGCUUUGGAAACUGUGCGGCUGGAGUGCAGGAGGGGUAAGCGGAAUUCCUAGUGUAGCGGUGAAAUGCGUAGAUAUUAGGAGGAACACCGGUGGCGAAGGCGACUUACUGGACUGUAACUGACGUUGAGGCUCGAAAGCGUGGGGAGCAAACAGGAUUAGAUACCCGUGUAGUC